This 969-nucleotide long non-coding RNA is filed under the name Anser brachyrhynchus (Pink-footed goose). RNAcentral's name for it is "lncRNA (ENSABRG00000012990.1)". Lineage: Eukaryota; Metazoa; Chordata; Aves; Anseriformes; Anatidae. The record is from RNAcentral.
GUUUGCAGCUGGCUACUGAUGCAUGGGUACUUCAGGAGCCAAGCCCAGAAGAUUCAAAAUACCCAUUCACUUUGAGAGGGCUGGCAAAGAUAGCCAGAUGGUUCUUGUUGGGGAGUAUGUGGUUUCAGUGUGUGAGUAAGCAAUAGACUUGGAAUGGACUUCAGCAAGAAACUGGAAACAAUAGAUAACAGAGAAAAGUCCACAACCACAAAAAGUACAGGCAAUUGAAAUAAUUAAAUGGUGAAGAAAAAGAUACAAGAAAACCAAGUGUGGGAACAUGUACAUAGAUUGCCAAGGUGGUCUCUGUGCCUGAAAACUAUAUGAACAGUGCAGUUCAUGCGGAAAGAUGUUACUGUCCAAAAGGAGUCUGAUCUAGCUCAAAGAGGUUUAUGUGCACUGACAUUGAGUUCUGUAGCUGUAUGCAGUUACCAUGACCUGUCAAAUAGCAGAACCAGGAACCUUAAGACUGAGGAAAAGCCUCUGAAAGUUGCCAGCAGUUAAGGAAGUGUGGAGUAGAUUGCAGAAGGGAUGAGUAGCUGAGCUUUGCAGCUCUGUUUGAGACAACUGAACUGCUAUGCAGUUUACCAUGCUGCAACUCCAUGUAUUUAUUUCAAUUCUGGAAUAUCUGGAAACUAAUCUCUUACUGGGUUAAUUGUCUUUUACCACUGUGAUCUAGAAAUGUAAACAAAAAUAUUUUUAUUGACAUUAAAGCCAAUUCUCCAGUUAACACUGGAAUUAACCCAUGUUUUCUAUACUUCUACUCCGAUGUUAGAAGCAUGUAAGGCAUGGAAUGUAAAUGGAUUUAGUUAUUUGCAUUGUAACCAGCAAAAAAGUGUUUCUCUGAAUAUUUUUGACUGAAAAAAAUAGUCUAGUGAUAAUUACCUAUUUUUACAUGUAUUAUAUAUGAAGUAGGGAUACACAUGCUAAUUAGAUAAUAAAAUUAAAUACUUAUGAAGUGCUGUUUGUCUA